UCCAAAACUCAAAGGAAUUGACGGGGGCCCGCACAAGCGGUGGAGCAUGUGGUUAAUUCGAAGCCACGCGCAGAACCUUACCAGCCUUUGACAUGGCAGGACGACUUCCGGAGACGGAUUUCUUCCAGCAAUGGACCUGCACACAGGUGCUGCAUGGCUGUCGUCAGCUCGUGUCGUGAGAUGUUGGGUUAAGUCCCGCAACGAGCGCAACCCUCGCCUCUAGUUGCCAGCAUUCAGUUGGGCACUCUAGAGGGACUGCCGGUGAUAAGCCGAGAGGAAGGUGGGGAUGACGUCAAGUCCCCAUGGCCCUUACGGGCUGGGCUACACACGUGCUACAAUGGUGGUGACAGUGGGAUGCAAAAGGGCGACCUCUAGCAAAUCUCAAAAAA
Molecule: ribosomal RNA, 389 nt
Filed under: uncultured Alphaproteobacteria bacterium
Lineage: Bacteria; Pseudomonadati; Pseudomonadota; Alphaproteobacteria
Description: bacterial SSU rRNA
Rfam family: Bacterial small subunit ribosomal RNA
Source: RNAcentral